This 431-nucleotide ribosomal RNA is filed under the name uncultured bacterium. RNAcentral describes it as "partial 16S ribosomal RNA". It matches the Rfam family "Bacterial small subunit ribosomal RNA", at positions 29 to 507 of the family's 1533-position model. The record is from RNAcentral.
AACGAACGCUGGCGGCAGGCCUAACACAUGCAAGUCGAGCGCCCUUUCGGGGGAGCGGCGGACGGGUGAGUACCGCGUGGGAAUAUGCCCUUCUCUACGGAAUAGCCUCGGGAAACUGAGAGUAAUACCGUAUACGCCCUUUGGGGGAAAGAUUUAUCGGGGAAGGAUUAGCCCGCGUUGGAUUAGGUAGUUGGUGGGGUAAUGGCCUACCAAGCCGACGAUCCAUAGCUGGUUUGAGAGGAUGAUCAGCCACACUGGGACUGAGACACGGCCCAGACUCCUACGGGAGGCAGCAGUGGGGAAUCUUAGACAAUGGGGGCAACCCUGAUCUAGCCAUGCCGCGUGAGUGAUGAAGGCCGUAGGGUUGUAAAGCUCUUUCAGCUGGGAAGAUAAUGACGGUACCAGCAGAAGAAGCCCCGGCUAACUCCGUG